CAACAGCGGCGGGACGGCUUCUCCUCUGUGUAUUCCUUACGCCUCCCGGGAGCAGGAGUAACGGCAGGAAGUCAGGUGAACCCCCCCCACACACACACACACAUACGUGUGCGGCGAAGCGCUCCGGGUGCCGCUGGACAAGCUCACUGUACAGCUGCUUUCCUUUCCCCAGAGACGCGGGUUCUCAGAGUUUUCAUCUUCCAUUGGCCGCAAAUAAUCAGACCCCGUUUCCUGCCAGCUGCUUUUCUCAAACUCAGCGGGGCAAGAGGAAGAGUCUGAGGCCGGAAGCUGUAGGUCCCGGAUACGGGGUCCAGUCCUGACUCCGCUGCUUGCCCGCCAAGGAACGUGCCGCAGGUUCGCCAACGUCUCUGGUCCCGGAUAUUCACCAAGAGCGAACCGUCGGCCUCCCCGGCCCCGUGGGAUCCGAGGAAAUGCGCGUGGGCUCGUGCGUGGAAGAUGGAGCCCCCCCACCUCCAGACGCCAGGAUGCGGGCAGGGAUAUUCGGAGCGUGGGGGGCAUCUUCUUCGAGGAUGGCUUUGGCAUUGAGGGUGGGUUGUGGCGCAGCUGACCCUUGAGCACAGGGCCAGUUUGGCGUUUGCUGCUGCGGGAUUGCCUCUGGGACACGUAAGCCCAAGCCCAGCAGCGGGAGUCUCACGGGAAUAUACACAAAUUGCGUACGGCCCCCCAGCUCCUCACACCCCCUCACUCGUGACCCCCCACCCGUCCCAGCCACAACCGCCAAUCUGCCUCCAGUAGCUACUGCCCAUUCCUCCACGCCCAGGUCCCCCAGCAAGAGCCAGGGCUUUUCAGAGGAAAAGUCCCACAUUAAUCGUAGUAAUUCUUAACCAUUUAACAUGUGAGAAAACUGUGUCAAUGUUUCGUUAAGUUCCCAUCUUUUUUCCCUGCGUCGCUGACAAAGCGUUGGGUGUUAUGUCCCCAGGCCUCUUCUGGGCAAAGCGCUGCUCUCACCGUGCGUGCGGAGGUGCAAGGCCCCAUAGCUUUUGAGGAGACCUGCCUCACGUGGGCGCCCCGUGGCAGCAUCUGGAGUGUGCCGGGUCAGGGCUCGGGUCGUCCCCCCGGCAGGUGGAAAGUCAGGACGGCCGUGCCUCCUCUCGUAGGAGUGUCUCGUGGGAACGUUGGGAAGCUUGAAUCAGAUGACACAGCAACCCGCCCUCUCAGAUCCCUGCCGAGAGGACCGUGCUUCUUCCGGGGCUGUGUCAUGAAUGCACUUUUAUCCCCCACACGCUCGUUCCCCCGUUUUUUCUGUUCUGUUCCAGUGAUUGAUAUAAAAUUACCAGGCGCCCCCAUCCACGGGCUCCCACGCGACACUCAGCAGAGCAGCCUCAUCGCCGCCUCAUUUUCCCCCAUUUACUUUCAAAUCUCUCACCUUGGUCAAUUAGCAGCAGAUCCCACCCGUACAGAAGACGUUUUGGUGCCUUUUAAUUUCAGUCCCAGCGGAGGUGACACCCACGUUUAUACCGUUAUUCUGUAGCUCUAGCGACGGGGCCGUUGAGGUUCUGAAAACUUCAUCCACAGGCACCGCAUUUGCAUUUCAUGAGUCGUCUGUAGUGAGUGGAGUGUAUCCCUUCUCCCCUGAAUGAAAACAGCAGUGGCAGAGGCAGAAUUAAAGCAGCCGGGAAGGGCGGCCAGGCCACCUCAUGGCAACCGCCAGGCUUCCAAGGGCACAUCGCUCCUUCCGACCCUAAGCAACCAGCUGAGAACAUCAAAACGGCCUUGCCGCGCGCCUCCGCCCGCGUUAGUGUUGGCGGGCUGUUCCCUCCAUCGGGACUGACAGAGCCCUAAUUAUCAAGGUAAUUGGAAGUUAGAACACUGGCCAUGGGAAAGGGAGAACUUCUGGAGCCCAUUAACGAUGCUGCUUUAAGCCCUCCGGCUGGGAACUGUUCGAAUCUCUAAUUACAUGACGCGUCUGUCUUCGGGGUGAUGUAAUUAACCAAUGGGAGAGAGGAUUCGUGUACAGACCGCUGCCAACACUUGUAAGUACUGUUUUCACAGGCACGGCUGCGGCAACGUCUUUGCAUUUUCUGCCACUUAACCGUACAGCGCACGGAGCUGAAAAAAUCCCAACCUCGUAGGAUGCUUUUGUUCUUUCUUUUCCCCAUUUAAUGUGUUUCUUUACACAUAUGAUGUAUUUGCCCAAAUUCGAAGAUGAACCCGGGUGCCUUGAGUUUCUACAUAACAUGUAGAUUCUUUUUUUUUUUUUUAGUGGCCACACCCAUGGCAUGUGGAAGCUCCCGGGCCAGGGACUGAUCCCAAGCUGCAGCUGCAUCUUCACUGCAGCUUCUGCAACACAGGCUCCUCUGAGGCUCCGCCCCAGGCCAGGGAUCGGAUCCUCGCUCUCCACAGUCACCUGAGCCACUGCGGUCGGAUUUCUAAUCCACUGCACCACAGUGGGAACUCCGAGGUUCUACUCUUGACACGUAUAAACUCUUAAACACUAUGCCUGUCCCUCUGCUGCAGAAUCAAUGUGUUUC
Molecule: long non-coding RNA, 2492 nt
Filed under: Sus scrofa (pig)
Lineage: Eukaryota; Metazoa; Chordata; Mammalia; Artiodactyla; Suidae
Description: lncRNA (ENSSSCG00050074454.1)
Source: RNAcentral